RNAcentral lists this ribosomal RNA (468 nucleotides) under uncultured bacterium. Its description in RNAcentral is "partial 16S ribosomal RNA". It matches the Rfam family "Bacterial small subunit ribosomal RNA", at positions 28 to 507 of the family's 1533-position model. The record is from RNAcentral.
GACGAACGCUGGCGGCGUGCUUAACACAUGCAAGUCGAACGGAAAGGCCCUGCUUUUGUGGGGUGCUCGAGUGGCGAACGGGUGAGUAACACGUGAGUAACCUGCCCUUGACUUUGUGAUAACUUCAGGAAACUGGGGCUAAUACCGGAUAGGAGCUCCUGCUGCAUGUUGGGGGUUGGAAAGUUUCGGCGGUUGUGGAUGGACUCGCGGCUUAUCAGCUGGUUGGUGGAGUAGUGGCUUACCAAGGCUUUGACGGGUAGCCGGCAUGAGAGGGUGACCGGCGACAUUGGGACUGAGAUACGGACCAGAAUCCUACGGGAGGCAGCAGGGGGGAACAUUGCAGAAUGGGCGGAAGCCUGAUGCAGCAACGCCGCGUGCGGGAUGCCGGCCUUCGGGUUGUAAACAGCUUUCGACGGUGACGAAGCGUGAGUGACGGUAAUGGGUAAAGAAGCACCGGCUAACUACGUG